This 253-nucleotide ribosomal RNA is filed under the name uncultured bacterium. RNAcentral's name for it is "partial 16S ribosomal RNA". It matches the Rfam family "Bacterial small subunit ribosomal RNA", at positions 524 to 776 of the family's 1533-position model. The record is from RNAcentral.
UACAGAGGGUGCAAGCGUUAAUCGGAAUUACUGGGCGUAAAGGGCGCGUAGGUUGUUUAAUAAGUGAGAUGUGAAAUCCCUGGGCUUAACCUAGGAACUGCAUCUUAGACUGUUGAACUGGAGUAUGGUAGAGGGUAGUGGAAUUUCCGGUGUAGCGGUGAAAUGCGUAGAUAUCGGAAGGAACACCAGUGGCGAAGGCGGCUACCUGGACUAAUACUGACACUGAGGCGCGAGAGCGUGGGGAGCAAACAGG